This 484-nucleotide ribosomal RNA is filed under the name uncultured bacterium. Its description in RNAcentral is "partial 16S ribosomal RNA". It matches the Rfam family "Bacterial small subunit ribosomal RNA", at positions 30 to 507 of the family's 1533-position model. The record is from RNAcentral.
AUUGAACGCUGGCGGCAGGCCUAACACAUGCCAGUCGAGCGGAUGAAGGGAGCUUGCUCCUGGAUUCAGCGGCGGACGGGUGAGUAAUGCCUAGUAAUCUGCCUGUUAGUGGGGGAUAACGUCCGGAAACGGGCGCUAAUACCGCAUACGUCCUGAGGGAGAAAGUGGGGGAUCUUCGGACCUCACGCUCUCAGAUGAGCCUAGGUCGGAUUAGCUAGUUGGUGGGGUAAAGGCCUACCAAGGCGACGAUCCGUAACUGGUCUGAGAGGAUGAUCAGUCACACUGGAACUGAGACACGGUCCCGGCUCCUACGGGAGGCAGCAGUGGGGAAUAUUGAACGAUGAGCGAAAGCCUGAUCCAGCCAUGCCGCGUGUGUGAAGAAGGUCUUCGGAUUGUAAAGCACUUUAAGUUGGGAAGAAGGGCAGUAAGUUAAUACCUUGCUGUUUUGACGUUACCAACAGAAUAAGCACCGGCUAACUUCGUG